Molecule: ribosomal RNA, 460 nt
Filed under: uncultured bacterium
Lineage: Bacteria
Description: partial 16S ribosomal RNA
Rfam family: Bacterial small subunit ribosomal RNA
Source: RNAcentral
CCUACGGGUGGCAGCAGUGAGGAAUAUUGGUCAAUGGACGGAAGUCUGAACCAGCCAUGCCGCGUGCAGGAAGACGGCUCUAUGAGUUGUAAACUGCUUUUGUACAAGGGUAAACCUGAAUACGUGUAUUCAGCUGAAAGUACUGUACGAAUAAGGCUCGGCUAACUCCGUGCCAGCAGCCGCGGUAAUACGGAGGAUCCAAGCGUUAUCCGGAUUUAUUUGGUUUAAAGGGUGCGUAGGCGGAUUGAUAAGUUAGAGGUGAAAUGUCCGAGCUUAACUCGGGAACUGCCUUUAAUACUGUUGAGCUAGAGAGUAGAUGCGGUAGGCGGAAUGUAUGGUGUAGCGGUGAAAUGCUUAGAGAUCAUACAGAACACCGAUUGCGAAGGCAGCUUACCAAUCUAUAUCUGACGUUGAGGCACGAAAGCGUGGGGAGCAAACAGGAUUAGAUACCCGUGUAGUC